UGGAAUGUUGCUCAAUGAUGCAGCACCUGCCUAGCAAGCAGGAGGCCCUAAGUUCGACUCCCAGCACCAA
Molecule: transfer RNA, 70 nt
Filed under: Heterocephalus glaber (naked mole-rat)
Lineage: Eukaryota; Metazoa; Chordata; Mammalia; Rodentia; Bathyergidae
Rfam family: tRNA
About the family: Transfer RNA (tRNA) molecules are approximately 80 nucleotides in length.
Source: Rfam by way of RNAcentral